This is a long non-coding RNA of Chinchilla lanigera (long-tailed chinchilla), 656 nucleotides long. RefSeq lists it as uncharacterized. The record is from RefSeq and is a predicted model, not a curated record. NCBI's taxonomy places the organism in Eukaryota, Metazoa, Chordata, Mammalia, Rodentia, Chinchillidae. The transcript has 3 exons.
GCAGCUCCCGCACAGGUACAGCCAUUCUUACUCCCUUCUAGCAAGCGGCACCCAUGCUCCGGACGGGCACACCGAGACAGACAGAGGCGUGGUAGCUUGCCCAUUGUUCACACAGCCUCCCCGCGGCCAGGCUGCUCUGAAGCCAGCGGUGCCCAGCGCCCAUAUCUAUUUCUGAAGAACAUACAAGGCCUGCUAAGAAUUUAGAACUGCCCUUUCUUCAUCAGUCCAGUGCUACCGUCAACAUGACUUUGAGGACUCUCAGAGCUCUACUGGCGUGGAGAUUGCAGUGUUCCAGUAGAAAUGAAGACAGUUAGACCUGCAGCACAAGAAGAUGCUGCCCAAACAACCGUGCUGAUACCACUGCAGACAGGACACAGAAACGCCUCAGAGAUCUUCGCAAAUGCAGGAGGAGAGCGGUGCACUGUCAGCCCCAACUCAAGUUCAGACAAACUCAACAUUCUCAUUAGAACGCCUUCUACGUCUUUAUAAUAUAUGGUGCUUCCAAGGAUAGAGAGAACUCUGCCUGCAGUUAAUUCUCAAACACCCAGGGACUGAUGAUAGCGUUUGUGAAUUAUUCCGGCUGAUUUCUCCACCUGCUUUGUCCAUGACACUAUUUUCUAUACACAUUUCACAAAAAGAGAGCAAACAGGGGAAUG